Pieris napi is the source of this 365-nucleotide long non-coding RNA. RefSeq lists it as uncharacterized. The transcript is spliced from 2 exons. NCBI's taxonomy places the organism in Eukaryota, Metazoa, Arthropoda, Insecta, Lepidoptera, Pieridae. The record is from RefSeq and is a predicted model, not a curated record.
UAUAUUACAAAAAACAGGAAAUCUACUGAUCUACCAUCAGGAUUCGCACACAUUGGUGCCCUGCGGGGCAAGUCAGAACACAGACUAGAAAUACUAAUAUGUACCUACUAACAUAAGAGGAAAUGAAAGACCUGUUUUGUUAAAAAAUAUAGUUUUAUUUUAAUUUUAAACAAUUAUUAUAUUAUUAUAAUCCAGUUUUACAUUACCUGUAAUAAAACUAAUAAGUGACCUUUAGAAGAAGUUCUGAAAUCCUUUGUUUAAGAUAAAGGUAACCAUGAUUUUACGCGGGGUUCUCGUAAUUGGCUUUUGCAUACACGGUAUGUCAGAGGAGAAUAUGAUAAAUGCUUGGAACUGGCUGACCACUU